RNAcentral lists this small nucleolar RNA (122 nucleotides) under Echinops telfairi (small Madagascar hedgehog). Its description in RNAcentral is "Small nucleolar RNA SNORA61 (ENSETEG00000024197.1)". The record is from RNAcentral. Lineage: Eukaryota; Metazoa; Chordata; Mammalia; Afrosoricida; Tenrecidae.
AACGUCCAGAUUCCUUACCUCUCAGAUCAAAAUAUUGGUCUGACUGGCUAAAAAAGGAGGAAAAGUAAAACUGAAGUAGACUUUGGAGUCUUCAAUGCCAUACAAGUUCAUUUCACACUUAA